This 404-nucleotide ribosomal RNA is filed under the name Tiarinia depressa. RNAcentral describes it as "partial 16S ribosomal RNA". The record is from RNAcentral. Lineage: Eukaryota; Metazoa; Arthropoda; Malacostraca; Decapoda; Mithracidae.
CAUAAUCAUUAGUUUUUUAAUUGAAAACUUGUAUGAAAGGUUAAACAAAAAAAUUUCUGUCUCUUAUUUAAAAAUUGAAAUUAACUUUUAAGUGAAAAGGCUUAAAUUUUUUAAGGGGACGAUAAGACCCUAUAAAGUUUAAUAAAAAGGUAAGUUUUUUUAAAAAAGAGUAUAAAAUGAAAAAUUAUAUUUUUAUUUUGCUGGGGCGGUACAGAUAUAAAUAAAUUGAUAACUGUCAGAAUUGUAAACAUAUAUAGGUGAUUAAUAAGAUCCUAAAUAAAGAUUAUAAGACUAAGUUACUUUAGGGAUAACAGCUUAAUUUUUUUUAAGAGUUCAUAUCGAAAGAAAAGUUUGAGACCUCGAUGUUGAAUUAAAAUAACUUUAUGGUGCAGCUGCUGUAUAAA